Molecule: ribosomal RNA, 508 nt
Filed under: uncultured Pseudomonadota bacterium
Lineage: Bacteria; Pseudomonadati; Pseudomonadota
Description: bacterial SSU rRNA
Rfam family: Bacterial small subunit ribosomal RNA
Source: RNAcentral
UAGCCGCGUGUGUGAAGAAGGCCUUCGGGUUGUAAAGCACUUUGUCCGGAAAGAAAUCGCGCUGGCUAAUAUCCGGCGCGGAUGACGGUACCGGAAGAAUAAGCACCGGCUAACUACGUGCCAGCAGCCGCGGUAAUACGUAGGGUGCGAGCGUUAAUCGGAAUUACUGGGCGUAAAGCGUGCGCAGGCGGUUGUGCAAGACAGGUGUGAAAUCCCCGGGCUUAACCUGGGAACUGCAUUUGUGACUGCACGGCUAGAGUGUGUCAGAGGGGGGUAGAAUUCCACGUGUAGCAGUGAAAUGCGUAGAUAUGUGGAGGAAUACCGAUGGCGAAGGCAGCCCCCUGGGAUAACACUGACGCUCAUGCACGAAAGCGUGGGGAGCAAACAGGAUUAGAUACCCUGGUAGUCCACGCCCUAAACGAUGUCAACUAGUUGUCGGGGAUUAAUUUCCUUGGUAACGCAGCUAACGCGUGGAGUUGACCGCCUGGGGAGUACGGUCGCAAGAUUA